GGCUGGAUAGCACAGUGGUCAGAGCGUUGAAUUGUAAUCGGUAAGCCCCGAGUUCGAUUCCCCGGGCUUGUCU
This is a non-coding RNA of Sphaeroforma arctica JP610, 73 nucleotides long. NCBI's taxonomy places the organism in Eukaryota, Ichthyosporea, Ichthyophonida. The record is from the annotation of a RefSeq genome assembly.